RNAcentral lists this ribosomal RNA (414 nucleotides) under Candidatus Neomicrothrix sp. RNAcentral describes it as "partial 23S ribosomal RNA". It matches the Rfam family "Bacterial large subunit ribosomal RNA", at positions 2513 to 2925 of the family's 2925-position model. Lineage: Bacteria; Bacillati; Actinomycetota; Acidimicrobiia; Acidimicrobiales; Microthrixaceae. The record is from RNAcentral.
AAGGUUUGGCACCUCGAUGUCGGCUCAUCGCAUCCUGGGGCUGAAGCAGGUCCCAAGGGUUGGGCUGUUCGCCCAUUAAAGCGGUACGCGAGCUGGGUUCAGAACGUCGUGAGACAGUUCGGUCCCUAUCCUCUGCAGCCGGAGGUGAAUUGAGGAAAGCUGUCCCUAGUACGAGAGGACCGGGACGGACGCAGCUCUCGUGUGCCAGUUGUCCUGCCAAGGGCAUGGCUGGUUAGCGACCUGCGGAAAGGAUAACCGCUGAAAGCAUCUAAGCGGGAAGCCUCUUCCAAGAUGAAUUCACCCACAGGGUUAACCUGGUAAGGCCCGUGGUAGACCACCACGUUGAUAGGCCGGAAGUGUAAGCGUGGCAACACGUUCAGCUGACCGGUACUAAUCGGCCGAGGGCUUGAGUUC